RNAcentral lists this ribosomal RNA (433 nucleotides) under uncultured bacterium. RNAcentral's name for it is "partial 16S ribosomal RNA". It matches the Rfam family "Bacterial small subunit ribosomal RNA", at positions 29 to 507 of the family's 1533-position model. The record is from RNAcentral.
AGCGAACGCUGGCGGCAGGCCUAACACAUGCAAGUCGAACGAACUCUUCGGAGUUAGUGGCGGACGGGUGAGUAACACGUGGGAACGUUCCUUUUGGUUCGGCAUAACUCAGGGAAACUUGUGCUAAUACCGAAUGUGCCCUUCGGGGGAAAGAUUUAUCGCCAUUAGAGCGGCCCGCGUCUGAUUAGCUAGUUGGUUAGGUAACGGCUCACCAAGGCGACGAUCAGUAGCUGGUCUGAGAGGAUGACCAGCCACACUGGGACUGAGACACGGCCCAGACUCCUACGGGAAGCAGCAGUGGGGAAUCGUGCGCAAUGGGCGAAAGCCUGACGCAGCCAUGCCGCGUGAAUGAUGAAGGUCUUAGGAUUGUAAAAUUCUUUCACCGGGGACGAUAAUGACGGUACCCGGAGAAGAAGCCCCGGCUAACUUCGUG